Sciurus carolinensis (gray squirrel) is the source of this 106-nucleotide small nuclear RNA. NCBI's taxonomy places the organism in Eukaryota, Metazoa, Chordata, Mammalia, Rodentia, Sciuridae. The record is from RefSeq and is a predicted model, not a curated record.
AAAAUUUUCUCAUUUCCACAGCACAUAUACUAAAAAUAUACAGAGAAGACUAGCAAGUCCCCUGAGCAAGGAUAACAUGCAAAUUUGUGAAGUAUUCCACAUUUUA